RNAcentral lists this ribosomal RNA (493 nucleotides) under uncultured bacterium. RNAcentral describes it as "partial 16S ribosomal RNA". It matches the Rfam family "Bacterial small subunit ribosomal RNA", at positions 30 to 523 of the family's 1533-position model. The record is from RNAcentral.
AUUGAACGCUGGCGGCAUGCCUUACACAUGCAAGUCGAACGGUAACAGGUUAAGCUGACGAGUGGCGAACGGGUGAGUAAUAUAUCGGAACGUGCCCAGUCGUGGGGGAUAACGUAGCGAAAGCUACGCUAAUACCGCAUACGAUCUACGGAUGAAAGCGGGGGAUCGCAAGACCUCGCGCGAUUGGAGCGGCCGAUAUCAGAUUAGGUUGUUGGUGAGGUAAAAGCUCACCAAGCCUGCGAUCUGUAGCUGGGCUGAGAGGACGACCAGCCACACUGGAACUGAGACACGGUCCAGACUCCUACGGGGGGCAGCAGUGGGGAAUUUUGGACAAUGGACGCAAGUCUGAUCCAGCAAUGCCGCGUGCAGGACGAAGGCCUUCGGGUUGUAAACUGCUUUUGUACGGAACGAAACGGUGAGCUCUAAUACAGUUUGCUAAUGACGGUACCGUAAGAAUAAGCACCGGCUAACUACGUGCCAGCCGCCGCAGUAA